RNAcentral lists this ribosomal RNA (406 nucleotides) under uncultured bacterium. RNAcentral's name for it is "partial 16S ribosomal RNA". It matches the Rfam family "Bacterial small subunit ribosomal RNA", at positions 30 to 526 of the family's 1533-position model. The record is from RNAcentral.
AUUGAACGCUGGCGGCAGGCCUAACACAUGCACGUCGAACGAGUGGCGGACGGGUGAGUAAUGUCUGGGAAACUGCCUGAUGGAGGGGGAUAAAUACUGGAAACGGUAGCUAAUACCGCAUACCAUCGGAUGUGCCCAGAUUGGAUUAGCUAGUAGGUGGGGUAACGGGUCACCUAGGCGACGAUCCCUAGCUGGUCUGAGAGGAUGACCAGCCACACUGUAACUGAGACACGGGCCAGACUCCUAGGAGAGGCAGCAGUGGGGAAUAAUACACAAUGGGAGAAAGCCUGAUGCAGCCAUGCCGCGUGUGUGAAGAAGGCCUUCGGGUUGUAAAGUACUUUCAGCGGUGAGGCGUUACCCGCAGAAGAAGCACCGGCAAACUCCGUGCCAGCAGCCGCGGUAAUUC